GCUCAGGGAGGGCAGCAUCCCAGCCACCCAUGGAGUGUGUCUUCCAGCUGGCCCUAAGAUAGUCUUCACCAGUGGCAGCUGGGGAAUAGAUGCAGCUUGUCUCUUUUGCAGCUACACGUGGCCGUGGAUUGAGCUCAAGGCAAAGGAAAAAGGUUCCCAGGGAAUGCCUGCUGGAGUUGGGGUCUGCAACAGCUGGAUACGUGUGGAGGAGAAAACUUGUGUGAUCCAAGGGAGAUGGAGGCAGGAAAGGAGGAGAGUCAGCAGGUGAUCUGCUACAGAGCUGAGAGUGAGUGACAUUGGGGGAUUGGAUGUGAAGGAAAAGAGGUGUAGUUUGAGAUCUGUAGUUGCCCUAUCUGCUUUCCUGGCUGGUAUGGAGUGCUGUUUCUGUUUUGUUUUGUUUUGUUUUUUCCAUACUGGUCUUCACAUUGUUACACUGUAGCCU
This is a long non-coding RNA of Mus musculus (house mouse), 442 nucleotides long. RefSeq annotates it as predicted gene, 40509. NCBI's taxonomy places the organism in Eukaryota, Metazoa, Chordata, Mammalia, Rodentia, Muridae. The record is from RefSeq and is a predicted model, not a curated record. The transcript is spliced from 3 exons.